UGACAUAAGUGUCAAAAGUCAAAAUGCGUUCCCGCUUGCGGGGAAAGCAUUUUGACUUUAUGACACGCUGAAACAUUCGGAAAUAGCAAUUUUCGUAGAAAAUUAGCGGUUUCCGAAUGUUUCUAGGAUUGCGAGAGUUUUCGAAGAAAACGGAGCAAUCCGUAUGUCA
Molecule: small RNA, 169 nt
Filed under: Lachnospiraceae bacterium
Lineage: Bacteria; Bacillati; Bacillota; Clostridia; Lachnospirales; Lachnospiraceae
Description: Clostridiales-1 RNA
Rfam family: Clostridiales-1 RNA
Source: RNAcentral